UGCCGGGGAUUCAGUGCUGGUACUGAUGCCACCCUCUGAAGGUGGACGACGCUGGUUCGAUUCCAGCCCCGGCAAC
RNAcentral lists this transfer RNA (76 nucleotides) under Gemmata sp. SH-PL17. RNAcentral describes it as "tRNA-Gln". It matches the Rfam family "tRNA". From Rfam's summary of the family: Transfer RNA (tRNA) molecules are approximately 80 nucleotides in length. Their secondary structure includes four short double-helical elements and three loops (D, anti-codon, and T loops). The record is from RNAcentral. Lineage: Bacteria; Pseudomonadati; Planctomycetota; Planctomycetia; Gemmatales; Gemmataceae.